AAGAAAAUGACAGAGUGGCUAUGUAUCUGGCUUGAAACCAGUAGAUGGGGGUUCGAUUCCCUCUUUUCUCG
Molecule: transfer RNA, 71 nt
Filed under: Hyloxalus yasuni
Lineage: Eukaryota; Metazoa; Chordata; Amphibia; Anura; Dendrobatidae
Description: tRNA-Ser
Rfam family: tRNA
About the family: Transfer RNA (tRNA) molecules are approximately 80 nucleotides in length. Their secondary structure includes four short double-helical elements and three loops (D, anti-codon, and T loops).
Source: RNAcentral